RNAcentral lists this ribosomal RNA (854 nucleotides) under uncultured bacterium. Its description in RNAcentral is "bacterial SSU rRNA". It matches the Rfam family "Bacterial small subunit ribosomal RNA", at positions 8 to 853 of the family's 1533-position model. The record is from RNAcentral.
AGAGUUUGAUCUUGGCUCAGGAUGAACGCUAGCUACAGGCUUAACACAUGCAAGUCGCGGGGCAGCAUGAAUUUAGCUUGCUAAAUUUGAUGGCGACCGGCGCACGGGUGAGUAACGCGUAUCCAACCUUCCCCUGUCCACGGGAUAGCCCGUCGAAAGGCGGAUUAAUACCGUAUGAGGUCACACGAUGGCAUCAGACUGUGACGAAAGGUUUAGCGGACAGGGAUGGGGAUGCGUCCGAUUAGCUUGUUGGCGGGGUAACGGCCCACCAAGGCUACGAUCGGUAGGGGUUCUGAGAGGAAGGUCCCCCACAUUGGAACUGAGACACGGUCCAAACUCCUACGGGAGGCAGCAGUGAGGAAUAUUGGUCAAUGGGCGAGAGCCUGAACCAGCCAAGUAGCGUGCAGGACGACGGCCCUAUGGGUUGUAAACUGCUUUUAUGCGGGGAUAACGUGCACCACGUGUGGUGUAUUGCAGGUACCGCAUGAAUAAGGAUCGGCUAAUUCCGUGCCAGCAGCCGCGGUAAUACGGAAGGUCCGGGCGUUAUCCGGAUUUAUUGGGUUUAAAGGGAGCGUAGGCCGCUGUUUAAGCGUGUUGUGAAAAACCGGGGCUCAACUCCGGUCGUGCAGCGCGAACUGGACGGCUUGAGUGCGCGGUAAGUGGGCGGAAUUUGUGGUGUAGCGGUGAAAUGCUUAGAUAUCACGAAGAACUCCGAUUGCGAAGGCAGCUCACCGUAGCGCAACUGACGCUGAAGCUCGAAAGUGCGGGUAUCGAACAGGAUUAGAUACCCUGGUAGUCCGCACGGUAAACGAUGGAUGCCCGCUGUUCCGACUAUUAGUUGGAGUGGCCAAGCG